RNAcentral lists this long non-coding RNA (378 nucleotides) under Lathyrus oleraceus (garden pea). RNAcentral describes it as "Pisum sativum (pea) long non-coding RNA (PSAT_LNC011889)". Lineage: Eukaryota; Viridiplantae; Streptophyta; Magnoliopsida; Fabales; Fabaceae. The record is from RNAcentral.
AGUUAGUGUGCCAUAAGGCAAAUUUAGCGCUAUGUUAAGCAAUCGUAAUUGGACUUAUGUAGAAGUCACAACUAUCUGAGGCCGGUCAAUAAUAAUGUAGGCAACAACACAAGUUAGAAGUCUUGAUUAGUGAACCAAGUUCCAACAACUUGCCAUGUCAAAAAGAAGAAGAGAAUUGAUCUUGUAUUGGUUUAAGGCUUUUGCAUGAUUUAGGAAACAACCUAUCCUUAAUGCAAAGCCAUUCACUUGAUCAAUUGAUCAAGAUGAAUUAGAUUUGAAUCAGGGAAGAUUAAGUCUCCCUAAUCAAUGUUAACUUAUCAAUCUUAAAUUCAUUGAUCAAAAAAAGAAAAAAAAAAAAGAAGAAGGAGAAGAUGAAUA